GUCCACGCCGUAAACGGUGGGUGCUAGGUGUAGGGGGUAUUCCACGCCCUCUGUGCCGCAGCUAACGCAUUAAGCACCCCGCCUGGGGAGUACGGCCGCAAGGCUAAAAACUCAAAGGAAUUGACGGGGGCCCGCACAAGCAGCGGAGCAUGUGGCUUAAUUCGACGCAACGCGAAGAACCUUACCAAGGCUUGACAUGCAGGGAAAUCUCCAGAGAUGGGAGUCCGCAAGGGUCCUGCACAGGUGGUGCAUGGUUGUCGU
RNAcentral lists this ribosomal RNA (261 nucleotides) under uncultured bacterium. RNAcentral's name for it is "partial 16S ribosomal RNA". It matches the Rfam family "Bacterial small subunit ribosomal RNA", at positions 793 to 1055 of the family's 1533-position model. The record is from RNAcentral.